Molecule: ribosomal RNA, 908 nt
Filed under: uncultured bacterium
Lineage: Bacteria
Description: bacterial SSU rRNA
Rfam family: Bacterial small subunit ribosomal RNA
Source: RNAcentral
GCUACCAUGCAAGUCGAGCGGUAGAGAGAAGCUUGCUUCUCUUGAGAGCGGCGGACGGGUGAGUAAUGCCUAGGAAUCUGCCUGGUAGUGGGGGAUAACGCUCGGAAACGGACGCUAAUACCGCAUACGUCCUACGGGAGAAAGCAGGGGACCUUCGGGCCUUGCGCUAUCAGAUGAGCCUAGGUCGGAUUAGCUAGUUGGUGAGGUAAUGGCUCACCAAGGCGACGAUCCGUAACUGGUCUGAGAGGAUGAUCAGUCACACUGGAACUGAGACACGGUCCAGACUCCUACGGGAGGCAGCAGUGGGGAAUAUUGGACAAUGGGCGAAAGCCUGAUCCAGCCAUGCCGCGUGUGUGAAGAAGGUCUUCGGAUUGUAAAGCACUUUAAGUUGGGAGGAAGGGCAUUAACCUAAUACGUUAGUGUUUUGACGUUACCGACAGAAUAAGCACCGGCUAACUCUGUGCCAGCAGCCGCGGUAAUACAGAGGGUGCAAGCGUUAAUCGGAAUUACUGGGCGUAAAGCGCGCGUAGGUGGUUCGUUAAGUUGGAUGUGAAAGCCCCGGGCUCAACCUGGGAACUGCAUUCAAAACUGACGAGCUAGAGUAUGGUAGAGGGUGGUGGAAUUUCCUGUGUAGCGGUGAAAUGCGUAGAUAUAGGAAGGAACACCAGUGGCGAAGGCGACCACCUGGACUGAUACUGACACUGAGGUGCGAAAGCGUGGGGAGCAAACAGGAUUAGAUACCCUGGUAGUCCACGCCGUAAACGAUGUCAACUAGCCGUUGGGAGCCUUGAGCUCUUAGUGGCGCAGCUAACGCAUUAAGUUGACCGCCUGGGGAGUACGGCCGCAAGGUUAAAACUCAAAUGAAUUGACGGGGGCCCGCACAAGCGGUGGAGCAUGUGGUUUAAUUC